This 1657-nucleotide unclassified non-coding RNA is filed under the name Hevea brasiliensis (rubber tree). The record is from RNAcentral. Lineage: Eukaryota; Viridiplantae; Streptophyta; Magnoliopsida; Malpighiales; Euphorbiaceae.
GAUAACGCACUUGCAAAUCUUGAUUGCACAUUACUAAUCUGCACCUGGAUUGACUCAACAGGGUACUCUGGAGAUGAAUCAACAAUAAUCCUUUCUUCACUAAUGCGAAGACCCUUCUGCUUUGCACUGAAAUCCGCAUUUACAAGGUUGAUGAUUGUAUCCGAUAUAGGCUCAAUAAUGCCUUUUGUAACCAUGGCUCGAAGAAGUCUAGUGUCCAAGCUGUCAGGGUCCCUAGCCGAUUUGUAAACCACUUUCACACUCUGAAUCCCACUGCCACCAGUCACUAGCUGUACUGCUAAUCUACCCACUUUCUCAGCGAGCACGACGUAAGGAGCCAACUCGGACAAAACCUCAGGAGGGACCAUUGGAGCAUUCACAGCGGUAGCAGAAAGUUCCCCAUUUAGAGCACCAACAACAGCCUCAGCUAUUUCAAUUGCAACUCCUUCCUGUGCUUCUUUAGUGCUAGCUCCAAGAUGAGGUGUAACAGUAACAUUCUCAUGCUGCACUAGUUUGCUAUCUUUUGGUGGGGGCUCCACAGUAAACACAUCAAGUGCUGCCUGAGCAACUAUUCCACUGUCAAGGGCUCUAACUAAUGCAUCCUCGUCGAUAACACCUCCUCGAGCAACGUUUAUUAGUCUGACUCCAUUCUUCAUCUUUGCAAAAGUGUCAUCAUUGAAUACCUUGUUCGUAGCAGGUGUGAGAGGCAUGUGGAGUGAGAUGAAGUCAGCAGUAGAUAUGGCCUGCUCAAAUGAAACCAAAUCGACUCCAAUAGCACGAGCUCUGUCAGCAGGAGCAUAAGGAUCAUGGGCAAUAACAUGCAUACCGAGGCCUUUUGCACGUCUAGCAACCUCGGAACCAACUUUACCAAAUCCCAUAAUAGCUAAUGUUUUCCCAACAAGAGAAACACCCACAUACUUGCUGCGCAGCCAUUUUCCAGCUUUCAUGGAGGCAUCAGACUGAGCAACGUUACGGGCCAUGGAGGUGAGCAAAGCGAUUCCAUGCUCAGCUGCAGCAAUAGUAUUAGCUGUGGGUGCGUUAACGACGAGGCAACCAAAUUCAGUUGCAGCUUGCAGAUCGACAUUGUCUAUACCAACACCAGCUCUCCCCACGACCUUGAGUCUUCCCUGAGCAGCCUCAAACACGUCACGGGUCACCUUGGUACCACUACGGACGAUGAGCGCGUCGCACAGAGAGAUCUUAGCGCAGAGAUCCUGAGGAGACAAGUCGUAAGAACAAUCCACGUUGCCGAAACUCUUGAGCAAAUCUAGACCCGCCUCUCCAAGCUUCUCGGAUACGAGAAUGGUUGGUUUGGAAGUGGAUACAACGCCGUGAAGAUCUCUAGAGAGGGAGAUGUCAGCAGAUUCAACAGUUUUGAGGACAUUACAAAUCACCGUCGUCGAAGAAGAAGAAAUUGAUGGUGAAACAGAGUGAAGGAGUUUGAUGGAAGAUGGAUUUGAGGAGGCAUGGAGGAAAGAGAGAUUUGAAGGUUUGUUGUGAUUGACGGAAGAAGAAGAGAGGAGAGAAUUGAGGCGGGCAGUGUGAGGAGAAGGGAUGGACGCCAUUUUUAUGAGAGCAACAAAUAGACUGACUGCAAAACUCAAAAGUUGUUGGAGGCUUUGAGGGGUUUGGACACAAAAUGAAACUAAAACAUGUUCCU